CCUGCCCCUCGCAGCGUCCAUUUUGGGUAAAGCAGGAAGUUGUUUUGUGAGGGAAACCUCAUGACAAACUGAACUGAGCUUAUUAAAUAUCCACAGAUACAUACAUCGGUAUUUGUUUUUUCUUGAAUGAUUAUUCGUUGUAUGUUUUGCUCGUCUAUAGGCGGAUCGGACCGGUUGCCUCGCAGCUGUGUUUACUGUUAAACUUCACACGCGCGUCGAAGAGGUCGCGACGGUAACCGGAGUGCUAAAUAAAACCAGCAGGUCAGAAUGGCGGAUGACUUCGACGUUGAGGCCAUGCUGGAAGCUCCUUAUAAGAAGGGUGAAAGCAAGUCCUCUAGCGCCGAUGGUCAUAAUGAGGAACGCAGCAAAAAGAAAAGACGCAGCGGCAGUCGUAGUCCGAGCCCAGGUCGGCAGGGGAGUAGAAGCGGGGGCCGCAAGAAGAGCCACGAGCGACGCAGGAGCCGUAGCCGCGAGCAGAAACUUUCACGGAGCAGAGAACAGAAGCGGUCGCGAUCCCGCAGCAAGGAUCGGGGUGGACGUUAUGGUGGACGCAAAACCCCCUUUAUGGGGCCGAAAUUAAAUGGUGGUCCCGGAGGGAAGACCGGCCCACAACAUUUCACCAAACACAGUCGCAGGCGCUCUCGGAGCAGAAGCCCAUUUAAGAAGGACAAAAGCCCUGUCAGGCAACCUUUAGAUAAUCUGAGCCCAGAGGAGAGAGACGCCCGUACAGUGUUCUGCAUGCAGCUCGCUGCCAGAAUUAGACCCAGAGAUCUGGAAGAUUUCUUCUCUGCAGUGGGAAAAGUUCGUGACGUAAGGAUGAUCUCGGAUAGAAACUCUCGGAGGUCGAAGGGCAUUGCCUACAUUGAGUUUGUGGAGGCGACAUCGGUACCGCUGGCGAUCGGCCUGACGGGGCAGAGGGUUCUGGGAGUGCCUAUCAUAGUACAGGCUUCACAGGCUGAGAAGAACAGGGCAGCAGCCAUGGCCAGCAUGCUCCAGAGAGGCGGUGCAGGACCCAUGCGGCUGUAUGUGGGCUCCCUGCACUUCAAUAUAACUGAAGACAUGCUCAGGGGCAUUUUUGAGCCGUUUGGAAAGAUUGAGGGCAUCCAGCUAAUGAUGGACAGUGAGACUGGCAGAUCGAAAGGAUACGGAUUCAUAUCAUUUGCAGAUGCAGAAUGUGCUAAAAAAGCCCUGGAGCAGCUAAAUGGUUUCGAGCUUGCGGGGCGGCCAAUGAAGGUGGGUAAUGUUACCGAGCGUUCGGAUGCCUCGUCUGCAAGCUCCUUCCUGGACAGUGAUGAACUGGAGAGAACUGGCAUUGACUUGGGCACAACAGGUCGACUUCAGCUGAUGGCAAGACUUGCAGAAGGUACAGGACUGCAGAUUCCUGCUGCUGCUAAGCAGGCCUUACAGAUGAGCGGCUCUGUGGCAUUUGGAAAUCUGGCAAAUGCCUCAACCACACAACCUCUUGUUCCCAAUCCCGGGAUGAACCAAGCUAUGAACCUUCCAAGUCAGCCACUGGCUACGCACUGUUUGCAGCUCUCCAACAUGUUCAGUCCACAGACGGAAAACGAUCCUGGCUGGGACCUGGAGAUAAAGGAUGAUGUCAUCGAAGAGUGCAGAAAACACGGAGGCAUUGUUCACAUAUACGUCGACAAGAACUCUGCUGAAGGAAAUGUUUAUGUAAAGUGUGCAACCAUCCCAGUAGCUAUGGCUGUUGUCAGCGCCCUGCACGGUCGGUGGUUUGCAGGUAAAAUGAUCACAGCUGCCUACGUGCCUCUCCCUACGUACCAUAACCUGUUUCCAGAUGCUGCCACAGCCACAGAGCCCCUGAGGCCCAUGCACCGGUGAUCCACGGAGUGACCCCUGCUUCGUCUGGAUCCGUACGCUUACCCUACAACCCCUUCCCAAAUGAACAGAGGCAGUCCUGUCAUGGAGGGCCGUCAAAUGUAUGGAGUUGGACUGUAUUUUCAUAUUAUAUUUUAGCAGGGGUGUUGUUCUGCGGUUAGAAUCACCUCUGCGUUUCGCAAGCUUCAGACCAGCUCUCAGCUACAGUGGUCUAUUGAUAAGUGAAAACCUGUAACACCGUCGCCCUCUCUAGAUGAGCUCUUGACUCCCGAAAACCGGUUUUGAAGGAGGUUCUGGCGUUUUUUGAAAGGAUGAACCAGCUCAGCCUCAGGCAAUAUUCCAACUUUCCCAGACAAUAUGGUCAACAUAAUGUCAAAUGGGAUGUGUCCUGGCUAAAAAGGACCAGGAUUGAGAAAGACUGAUCUAGUGGCUGCAGAAAUGCAAUGCAAGUAUCUAAAACAAUAAAGGACAAGGUUCAGGUGUAUAAAAACCUCAAUGUGGCUUGAAUGCAGAUUACAAAAAAAAAAAAACUCUAAAAGAGGACACAAUGUUCAAACGUUCAGCUUUUACGUCAGCUCUCAGUGGACUGGUGGACUCAAGUUCUGUGAGACUUCUGUAAGAACCAUACAGACCAUGACAUAACAUUAGCAGCCAAGAUGGUUUUUUUUUUUUUGGCUCUGUAUAUCCAGCUACUGCCUUUGAGGAAUCCUGCGCCCCAUCUGUGGUAAUAAAUCAAAUAUGACAUUAAAUCGGCCUGAUCUCAGAGACGCCUUAUGAUCUGCCAGCCAAUCUGUCAUCUCAGUGAGUCUGAAAAAUUUUGCGAUUCAUGUUGAGAAUAGAGGCUGCCUCAUUUUCCAACUCUGAGGAGAUUUGGAAAAUGAGAAAUUACCACACACAAAAAAAAGAAAUACAAAUAUUAUGCUUCA
RNA transcript from Sinocyclocheilus anshuiensis, 2768 nucleotides. It is a transcript of the gene named RNA-binding protein 39-like, with no coding region annotated. Lineage: Eukaryota; Metazoa; Chordata; Actinopteri; Cypriniformes; Cyprinidae. The transcript is spliced from 18 exons. The record is from RefSeq and is a predicted model, not a curated record.